Molecule: ribosomal RNA, 429 nt
Filed under: Acidobacteriota bacterium
Lineage: Bacteria; Pseudomonadati; Acidobacteriota
Description: Acidobacteria bacterium partial 16S ribosomal RNA
Rfam family: Bacterial small subunit ribosomal RNA
Source: RNAcentral
UGGGGAAUUUUGGACAAUGGGGUAAACCCUGAUCCAGCCAUCCCGCGUGUGCGAUGAAGGCCUUCGGGUUGUAAAGCACUUUUGGCAGGAAAGAAACGUCAUGGGUUAAUACCCCGUGAAACUGACGGUACCAGCAGAAUAAGCACCGGCUAACUACGUGCCAGCAGCCGCGGUAAUACGUAGGGUGCAAGCGUUAAUCGGAAUUACUGGGCGUAAAGCGUGCGCAGGCGGUUCGGAAAGAAAGAUGUGAAAUCCCAGAGCUCAACUUUGGAACUGCAUUUUUAACUACCGGGCUAGAGUGUGUCAGAGGGAGGUGGAAUUCCGCGUGUAGCAGUGAAAUGCGUAGAUAUGCGGAGGAACACCGAUGGCGAAGGCAGCCUCCUGGGAUAACACUGACGCUCAUGCACGAAAGCGUGGGGAGCAAACAGG